This 467-nucleotide ribosomal RNA is filed under the name uncultured bacterium. RNAcentral describes it as "partial 16S ribosomal RNA". It matches the Rfam family "Bacterial small subunit ribosomal RNA", at positions 28 to 507 of the family's 1533-position model. The record is from RNAcentral.
GACGAACGCUGGCGGCGUGCUUAACACAUGCAAGUCGAACGGAAAGGCCCUGCUUUUGUGGGGUGCUCGAGUGGCGAACGGGUGAGUAACACGUGAGUACCUGCCCUUGACUUUGGGAUAACUUCAGGAAACUGGGGCUAAUACCGGAUAGGAGCUCCUGCUGCAUGGUGGGGGUUGGAAAGUUUCGGCGGUUGGGGAUGGACUCGCGGCUUAUCAGCUUGUUGGUGGGGUGGUGGCUUACCAAGGCUUUGACGGGUAGCCGGCCUGAGAGGGUGACCGGCCACAUUGGGACUAAGAGACGGCCCAGACUCCUACGGGAGGCAGCAGUGGGGAAUAUUGCACAAUGGGCGGAAGCCUGAUGCAGCAACGCCGCGUGCGGGAUGACGGCCUUCGGGUUGUGAACCGCUUUCGCCUGUGACGAAGCGUGAGUGACGGUAAUGGGUGAAGAAGCACCGGCUAACUACGUG